GAUUAACGCUGGCGGCGUGCAUAACACAUGCAAGUCGAACGAUGAAACUUAAAUGAUUUCUUCGGAAUGAACUUAAGUGGAUUAGUGGCGGACGGGUGAGUAACGCGUGAGUAACCUGCCUUACACAAGGGGAUAGCCGUUGGAAACGACGAAUAAUACCCUAUGAAACUAUCACUUCGCAUGAAGCGAUAGUCAAAGUGUUAGCGGUGUAAGAUGGACUUGCGUCUGAUUAGCUAGUUGGUGAGAAAAAAGCCCACCAAGGCAACGAUCAGUAGCCGGCUUGAGAGAGUGUACGGCCACAUUGGGACUGAGACACGGCCCAGACUCCUACGGGAGGCAGCAGUGGGGAAUUUUGCAUAAUGGGGGAAACCCUGAUGCAGCGACGCCGCGUGAUUUAGAAGGCCUUCGGGUUGUAAAAAUCUUUUGUAUAGGAAGAAAAUGACAGUACUAUACGAAUAAGGUCCGGCUAAUUACGUG
Molecule: ribosomal RNA, 477 nt
Filed under: uncultured bacterium
Lineage: Bacteria
Description: partial 16S ribosomal RNA
Rfam family: Bacterial small subunit ribosomal RNA
Source: RNAcentral